AGGAAUAUUGGUCAAUGGACGCAAGUCUGAACCAGCCAUGCCGCGUGAAGGAUUAAGGCCCUCUGGGUUGUAAACUUCUUUUAUAGGGGAAGAAAUGUGACGGCUCUCCGUCACUUGAAGGUACCCUGGGAAUAAGCACCGGCUAACUCCGUUCCAGCAGCCGCGGUAAUACGGAAGGUGCAAGCCUUAUCCGGAUUCACUGGGUUUAAAGGGUGCGUAGGUGGGCAGAUAAGUCAGUGGUGAAAUCUUCCGGCUUAACCGGGAAACUGCCGUUAUCUCUACUUGUCUUUAAUAUUGCGGAGGUAAGCGGAAUAUGUCAUGUAGCGGUGCAAUGCUUAGAUAUGACAUAGAACACCAAUUGCGAAG
This 366-nucleotide ribosomal RNA is filed under the name uncultured bacterium. RNAcentral's name for it is "bacterial SSU rRNA". It matches the Rfam family "Bacterial small subunit ribosomal RNA", at positions 357 to 720 of the family's 1533-position model. The record is from RNAcentral.